AGGACGAACGCUGGCGGCGUGCUUAACACAUGCAAGUGGAGCGACGAACCAGGGCUUGCCCUGGGGCAGAGCCGCGAACGGGUGAGUAACACGUGGGUUACCUGCCUCGAUGACCGGGACAACCCGAGGAAACUCGGGCUAAUACCGGAUGUGCCCGCAAGGGGAAAGGAAGCUUCGGCCUCCGCAUCGAGAUGGGCCCGCGGCCCAUUAGCUUGUUGGUGAGGUAACGGCUCACCAAGGCUUCGAUGGGUAGCUGGUCUGAGAGGACGAUCAGCCACACUGGGACUGAGACACGGCCCAGACUCCUACGGGAGGCAGCAGUGGGGAAUCUUGCGCAAUGCGCGAAAGCGUGACGCAGCAACGCCGCGUGGGGAAGAAGGCUUUCGGGUUGUAAACCCUUUCAGUUGGGACGAAGCUUCGGCGGUGAAUAGCCGACCGGAGUGACGGUACCUUCACAAGAAGCACCGGCUAACUACGCGCCAGCAGCCGCGGU
RNAcentral lists this ribosomal RNA (493 nucleotides) under uncultured bacterium. RNAcentral describes it as "SSU rRNA". It matches the Rfam family "Bacterial small subunit ribosomal RNA", at positions 26 to 521 of the family's 1533-position model. The record is from RNAcentral.